Molecule: ribosomal RNA, 410 nt
Filed under: uncultured bacterium
Lineage: Bacteria
Description: bacterial SSU rRNA
Rfam family: Bacterial small subunit ribosomal RNA
Source: RNAcentral
AAUAUUGCGCAAUGGCCGAAAGGCUGACGCAGCGACGCCGCGUGGGGGAUGAAGCAUUUCGGUGUGUAAACCCCUGUUGCCCGGGACGAACACGCAGAUUUUUCUGCUCUGACGGUACCGGGUGAGGAAGCAUCGGCUAACUACGUGCCAGCAGCCGCGGUCAUACGUAGGGUGCAAGCAUUAUCCGGAGUGACUGGGCGUUAAGAGUUGCGUAGGCGGUUAGUAAAGCGAAUAGUGAAACCUGGUGGCUCAACCAUACAGACUGUUAUUCGAACUCACUAACUCGAGAGUGGUAGAGGUAACUGGAAUUUCUUGUGUAGGAGUGAAAUCCGUAGAUAUAAGAAGGAACACCAAUGGCGUAGGCAGGUUACUGGACCAUUUCUGACGCUAAGGCACGAAAGCGUGGGGAG